RNAcentral lists this long non-coding RNA (204 nucleotides) under Setaria italica (foxtail millet). Its description in RNAcentral is "long non-coding RNA (SITA_LNC002255)". The record is from RNAcentral. Lineage: Eukaryota; Viridiplantae; Streptophyta; Magnoliopsida; Poales; Poaceae.
CCAUUUUGACCGGGUUGUUGUUCAGCUUCAGAGUGAACCUACGAGCCUGGAACAUGAAAAUUCAGUAACUAAAGAUGUCAAGCACAGGGUUUUUCUACAAUUCUCGGUCUAGACAAGCAAGGAGUUGCUACUAGGCAGUUGUAAAUUAUGCAAUGUAAAGACAAAGCUUUCAUAUUGUACUCCAAUUCGGAUAGACAAGCAAGG